This 843-nucleotide ribosomal RNA is filed under the name uncultured bacterium. RNAcentral describes it as "bacterial SSU rRNA". It matches the Rfam family "Bacterial small subunit ribosomal RNA", at positions 21 to 906 of the family's 1533-position model. The record is from RNAcentral.
GGCUCAGGAUGAACGCUGGCGGUAUGCCUAACACAUGCAAGUCGAACGGAGUUCUUCGGAACUUAGUGGCGGACGGGUGAGUAACACGUGAGAACCUACCUUCAGGUUGGGGACAACAGUUGGAAACGACUGCUAAUACCCAAUGUGCCGAAAGGUGAAAGAUUUAUCGUCUGAAGAUGGGCUCGCGGCUGAUUAGCUAGUUGGUGGUGUAAAGGACUACCAAGGCGACGAUCAGUAGCUGGUCUGAGAGGAUGAGCAGCCACACUGGAACUGAGAAACGGUCCAGACUCCUACGGGAGGCAGCAGUGGGGAAUUUUCCGCAAUGGGCGAAAGCCUGACGGAGCAAUACCGCGUGAGGGAGGAAGGUUCUUGGAUUGUAAACCUCUUUUAUCAGGGAAGAAGUACUGACGGUACCUGAUGAAUAAGCAUCGGCUAACUCCGUGCCAGCAGCCGCGGUAAUACGGAGGAUGCAAGCGUUAUCCGGAAUCAUUGGGCGUAAAGCGUCCGUAGGUGGUCUAUCAAGUCUGCUGUCAAAGCAUGGAGCUUAACUCCAUAUCGGCGGUGGAAACUGAGAGACUAGAGUUCGGUAGGGGUAGUGGGAAUUCCCAGUGUAGCGGUGAAAUGCGUAGAUAUUGGGAAGAACAUCGGUGGCGAAAGCGCACUACUGGGCCGAAACUGACACUGAGGGACGAAAGCUAGGGUAGCGAAAGGGAUUAGAUACCCCUGUAGUCCUAGCCGUAAACGAUGGAUACUAGGCGUAGCACGUAUCGACCCGUGCUGUGCCGAAGCUAACGCGUUAAGUAUCCCGCCUGGGGAGUACGCUCGCAAGAGUGAAACUCAAAU